This is a long non-coding RNA of Melitaea cinxia (Glanville fritillary), 546 nucleotides long. RefSeq lists it as uncharacterized. NCBI's taxonomy places the organism in Eukaryota, Metazoa, Arthropoda, Insecta, Lepidoptera, Nymphalidae. The transcript has 3 exons. The record is from RefSeq and is a predicted model, not a curated record.
CCCCUCCCGCCCGCAAGCGCUCAGUACGGAGGUGUCCGUGGGCGAGGCGGCACGUUCGGUGCACGCCUCGCUUUAUUGUAUUGUUUUGGCUGUGCACGCCAUUGUUUUAUUCCAUCCGACCGUAAUCAGUACGAUAUAUGAGUGUAAUACGAAGCCUGCAUUAUUUAAUGAAAUAGUGCUCGUCUGUGUAUGCGACAAUAAGAGUUCUUAUCAACACUGAUAAGUACUCGGUGGCUUAUUGACAAGUGAAACUGAUCGUUCCAAUCGUAUAAGACAGUUUGUGUUUUGUUAUUGAACCGUAAAUGUGCAGUGAUCUUUGUCGUUAUUAAUAGCAUGCAAAUCAAUAACUAAGUGGAUGCCCAACUCCGAACUGAGAAGAGCUCUUGCUGUGCGGUUUAUAACACGGUUGCAUAUUGAUUGGUCCACCCGGCAUCACUGGAAACUGUCGUCCCGUUACGAUUGAAACUCUUGGCGAAGCAUUGACCGUUAACCUUCGAAUUGUACCUCAAGCAACAAAAAGAUUGACAAAAAAUUACUUUAUCACGU